GACGAACGCUGGCGGCGUGCUUAACACAUGCAAGUCGAACGGAAAGGCCCUGCUUUUGUGGGGUGCUCGAGUGGCGAACGGGUGAGUAACACGUGAGUAACCUGCCCUUGACUUUGGGAUAACUUCAGGAAACUGGGGCUAAUACCGGAUAGGAGCUCCUGCUGCAUGGUGCGGGUUGGAAAGUUUCGGCGGUUGGGGAUGGACUCGCGGCUUAUCAGCUUGUUGGUGGGGUAGUGGCUUACCAAGGCUUUGACGGGUAGCCGGCCUGAGAGGGUGAACGGGCCCAAUGGGACCGAGAUCACGCCCCGACUGCUACCGGGAGCAAGCGUGGGGAAUUAUGCGCAAAGGGAGGAAGAGUCUGGUAGAGACGCUCUGUGUGGGAUAACAACCUUUUCGUAAUAUAAAGUUCUCGCAUGUGAGAAGACGUGAGUGACGGUACCGACAGAAGAAGCGACGGCUAACUACGUG
This 468-nucleotide ribosomal RNA is filed under the name uncultured bacterium. Its description in RNAcentral is "partial 16S ribosomal RNA". It matches the Rfam family "Bacterial small subunit ribosomal RNA", at positions 28 to 507 of the family's 1533-position model. The record is from RNAcentral.